UACGAAGGGGCUAGCGUUGCUCGGAAUCACUGGGCGUAAAGCGCACGUAGGCGGCUUUUAAGUCAGGGUGAAAUCCUGGAGCUCAACUCCAGAACUGCCUUGAUACUGGGAAGCUUGAGUCCGGAGAGGUGAGUGGAACUCCGAGUGUAGAGGUGAAUUCGUAGAUAUUCGGAAGAACACCAGUGGCGAAGGCGGCUCGCUGGACGUAUGACGCUGAGCGCGAAGCGUGGAGCACAGG
RNAcentral lists this ribosomal RNA (238 nucleotides) under uncultured bacterium. RNAcentral's name for it is "partial 16S ribosomal RNA". It matches the Rfam family "Bacterial small subunit ribosomal RNA", at positions 524 to 774 of the family's 1533-position model. The record is from RNAcentral.